GUUUGAUCAUGGCUCAGGAUGAACGCUAGCGGCAGGCUUAAUACAUGCAAGUCGAGGGGCAGCAGCUUUAUAGCAAUAUAGAGGCUGGCGACCGGCAAACGGGUGCGGAACACGUACACAACCUUCCUUUAAGUGGGGGAUAGCCCAUAGAAAUGUGGAUUAAUACCCCGUAAUAUUAUUGAAGUGGCAUCACUUUAUAAUUAUAGUUUCGACGCUUGAAGAUGGGUGUGCGGCUGAUUAGGUAGUUGGCGGGGUAAAGGCCCACCAAGCCUUCGAUCAGUAGCUGAUGUGAGAGCAUGAUCAGCCACACGGGCACUGAGACACGGGCCCGACUCCUACGGGAGGCAGCAGUAAGGAAUAUUGGUCAAUGGACGCAAGUCUGAACCAGCCAUGCCGCGUGAAGGAUGAAGGUCUCUGGAUUGUAAACUUCUUUUAUAGGGGGCGAAAAAAGGAAUUCUUUCUCACUUGACAGUACCCUAUGAAUAAGCACCGGCUAACUCCGUGCCAGCAGCCGCGGUAUACGGAGGUGCAGCGUAUCCGGAUCACUGGGUUAAA
Molecule: ribosomal RNA, 555 nt
Filed under: uncultured bacterium
Lineage: Bacteria
Description: bacterial SSU rRNA
Rfam family: Bacterial small subunit ribosomal RNA
Source: RNAcentral